This 277-nucleotide ribosomal RNA is filed under the name uncultured prokaryote. RNAcentral describes it as "partial 16S ribosomal RNA". It matches the Rfam family "Bacterial small subunit ribosomal RNA", at positions 524 to 801 of the family's 1533-position model. The record is from RNAcentral.
UACGUAGGGGGCUAGCGUUAUCCGGAUUUACUGGGCGUAAAGGGUGCGUAGGUGGUUUCUUAAGUCAGAGGUGAAAGGCUACGGCUCAACCGUAGUAAGCCUUUGAAACUGGGAAACUUGAGUGCAGGAGAGGAGAGUGGAAUUCCUAGUGUAGCGGUGAAAUGCGUAGAUAUUAGGAGGAACACCAGUUGCGAAGGCGGCUCUCUGGACUGUAACUGACACUGAGGCACGAAAGCGUGGGGAGCAAACAGGAUUAGAUACCCGUGUAGUCCCUGAG